Molecule: unclassified non-coding RNA, 1802 nt
Filed under: Hevea brasiliensis (rubber tree)
Lineage: Eukaryota; Viridiplantae; Streptophyta; Magnoliopsida; Malpighiales; Euphorbiaceae
Source: RNAcentral
AGGUGCACUCCAUUGCAGAAAAAUAAUUGAGGAGGUUGGUCCAUGGCCACUCUCUGUUUCAUUUCCCCCAUCUCACUUAGGCUCAGGUUUUUCCUUUGUGCCUACUUUCUUUCUUUAUGCCUUUUCUUUUCAUUCAACAGAGGCUAUGCCUCAUUCGAAGGAAGGAAACUUGCAGAGAGCCAGCUUCCUCACCAUAGCCAUACAAUUCAAGUCAGCUCUCUACUCCCAUCUGAUUCUUGCAAACCUUCCACUACAAAAGGUCUUUCACAUAACUCUUAGCUUUUUUAACUUCUCUCUAGCUCAAAAUUAAUUAUUUUUCUUUGUUUAGACAAUCAUCGUCAUCAUCACCAUCAUCUUAAUCAUUAAUCAUUAUAACUAUCUUAUUUUAAUUGUUAUUAACACCUUUAUAAGGUAGUUUCAGAGUGAAAAAGGAUUUAAUUAUUAAUUAAUCUCCUUUCAUUUCUUUUUCUUUCUAUAAUUUUUAUGGCAUAUCAAACCUAUUAGCUAGUGAAGUUAUUGACAAAAGGAAAAAACGAAUAAAAGAAAAGAAAAGAAAAAUCUUUCUCUAAGUGAAGGUUUCUGAUUGAAAAAUGGAUAUUAGGUAGUGAGAGGGCCCUCCAUGCAGAAAAAGAGCUUAUAUUCUUUGAAGAGUUAUCAUCACUCACCAGCAAAAAAUCCUACUCCAUGUACAGUGUCUCAAGGCAAUUGCUGGUCACAUUUUUAGUGAUUGAUAUAUUCAGUGUCUUGUGAGAUUCAGCCCUCCCCAUUUCUCACAUAAAGAUGAAAAAUUUUGUAAGAAAUAAAUGAGAAGAAUCGAAUCAAAAUCUCUUUACUCUCUGCACCUUAAAUGCUUAUGAAAACCUACCAAAUUAUAUUUUUCUAUAUAACUUCAAUAUAUUCAAAAUAAAUAAUUUUAAGAUGCUUUAAAAAAUUAGAAUUGAUAGAGAAAGGGUGCUCUAGUCUUUAUUAAUCAGACAAACUCUGCCAGCUGCUAAGUUGUCCUUUAUUCUUAGAAUCUAUAGAGCAAAUCGCUGAUUUAUAGGUAAGUCCAGGCGAGAGUCUAAUUUGACAACUGCACACAAAUAUAUUUAUAAUUCAAGGAAAUUAGUGGAAAAUAUUAUAAUCCCAAAUGAUUGUACGAUUCAAAGAAAGUGUUUCAUUAAGCAAAAUAUAAAAUAAAAACUAUUUCAUGAAAGCUUAGAAUGAUUCCACACAUCACAAGUAGUCUACUCAUUCAUGAAUUUCUAUAAUGAAAAACAUUAAAUUGCUUUAUCAUAUGAUGAAAUCUAUUGUUUUUAUUUUGUUGUUCAAAAUGAUAAUAUUGCUUAAAUGUAAUUAAAUAGAAGGGAACUUUCAUGAUUUUAUCAGUUAGUCCACAGAAAGUUUAGGAAAUGCCCAAUUGAGUACGACAACUCUCCAACAACCGGUUGUUUUAACUCUAUGUUCUUACAUAGUUGCAAGCUACUUUUGAGGCGUGCAAUUUUCUAUUACUGUAGAUGACAAGUUUAGGUCCAGGCAUGGGUGUGGUCUGGUUUCAGGUCUAAAUAAAAAUUUAAUUAGGGACUAAAUCCAAGGAUUUCUCUCUCGAUUUCAUUUAGUUUGAUCAAAUUUACUAGUUAAAAAUUUUUAAAAAAAUAAAAACUAGUAACUGCAAUGCAGAAUUAAACAAAAUUAGCAUCGGAUCGAUCAGAUCGAUCCCCAAUCAGAAGAUCACAGUAGUCUAAAUUCUAAAAGCACAUUUUAGAAGAAAAAGAAGAGAGAUCUCUGUGCUGAUACCGUUAAAGCGAAAUGAUGAACCAGCA